UCACAAUGGAUCAGCAAUCCUGAAAACUAUGCCAGAGGUGGGGUCCUCCUUUACUUCCUGGUUCACAGAAAACCAGGAUCCCAUGCUUCCCCAUGCACCUCAAGCCACUUUGACAGGUAGGUCCACCUGUCAAUCACUGGUUGCCACCAUAAUAUCAGUUCACUAAUUUUCCCUUUGCAGCAUAGCUUGAGUUCAACCUGGGUUUCAAAAGAAAGAUCACUGCUGAAACCAGGUUUGCAGCCACUUCCCAUCAGAUUACCUGUGGUGACUUGAAGUGCAAUGGAAAAACUUCAGAGUGAAUCUGAUCUGAGUGUAAGGAGCAUGCCUCAAGGCUUCCCAUCAUUCCUUUAUAGCCACACACCUCCCCAUCAUAUAUGUGAGGCAAGUGGGCAUAGCUGGAGGGAAAUGGCCUGGUGGACCAAAUUAGGGCCUGGUUGGGCCUACUUGGGUCUGUGGGGUAAUUAAGUCUGUGAACCAGAGGUCCCCCACCACUGCUCCAUGUUCAUAUACAUGCUUUUUUCUGUGGCGGAAGACAAUGACUACCAGCAAUAUGCUCAGUGAAAAGGAAGCAAGAGAGCAGCUUUUUGAGCUUUGAAAUGUUUGUCUCCAAUUGCUGCUUCCACCUACCCAUAAACACAGAUACCAAGAGGCCUCAUAAUUGCCGAAACCUAUUAUCAUCCUACUCAUUAAGAAUCCCCAAGCAAGUAACACUGUAAAUAAGUUAAAACCCAGAAAUGAGCAGGCAAUGCUCACUUAAGUUAACUCAGUAAAUCAAUAUUAUUUCAGCAAGUGUUUGAAAUGGUGGGGUUUUUUUGUGACAGGACAGAGAAGCAUGUACAUGAUGGGUCAGAGAAAGCCAAAAGAGCCCAAUGGGAUAUUUUGUGUGUGUGUGUGUGUGUGCAUUUCUCACUUUUCCAUUGAUUAAAAAGCACACAAAUAGCAAAGGGGAGAGAGUUUUGAGAGGCAGAUAGAGAAGCCUGGAGGGCCACAUUUAGCCCCCAGGCCAAGUUCUGCACCCCUGUCCAAAAUAAACUCAAUUAAAAACUGGGCCCCAUUCUGAAUUCCCAGUGAUCUAACCAGGAGCAUGACUGGUUCUGUUUGAUUUACAAUAUUUUUAUGCCGCUUUUCAUUCGAUUGAAUCCCAAAGCAUCUUAAAAAUAAUAAAUAGCAAUAAUAUGAUAGAACAUAAUAGAACAUCACAAACAUAGCAUAAAUCAUAGAAAAUAAUUUUAAAAAUUAUUGGUGAAACAAUACAAUCUAUGAAACAUGGUUAACGAAGAAAAAAGUAAAAAAGAAGAAGCUAAAAAUCACAAUUAAAGCAAAAGUCAUAUUAAAUUAUUAACAAAUCAAUUCAUAAUCUAUAAAACAAUAUCAACAAAAUAGCAAGCAGAAAUAAACUAGUCACUGUUAAGGUCACACACACUCUCCACACUCCCAUGACUCAUAAUACUUCACUCAGUUCUGCUCACUAACAUACAUAUAUCACAUAAUGCCUGUGGCAGCAACUUCUAGCAUCCUCUGUGAUGUUCCCAGGCCUUCCCCAGGCCUUGCCUUGGUACAAGGAGGGCUUUCAACACUGUAAGAUUCCAUUCCAUCAUUGGGAACUAAGGGAUAUGCAGUUCUCAUAAGCCCCAGUGUCCCUGGGUGCAGUCAGAUCUUCAGGCCCCACCACUACUAUAACCACCUGCAGCCCCUGAACAAGAACGUCCAGUGACUGAACUCUCCAGGAGCAGCAGCACAAAGGAGUCAGACUUGCUCCAUGAUAAUUCCCAAGUCGAGCACACCACCUGGAUUCUGCACCCUAUGUACAAAAUAUGAGGACGCACCACUGUCCUCAGACUCCUCUAGAGUGCUGAAGGACCCUGAGGGAGCAUUUCCCAACCAGCUCAUCCAUACUACUGUCUUCACCUCCAAGAAGGAGCCAGCAACUGCAGAGAAAAAUGCAGGUUCUUUAAGACAGCCAGAUACAGCAUUUGGGAGUGGGAUGGACUCUCCUGGUCAGCCUAACAAAAACCCUGGCAGUUACUGUAGACUAGUGCUGGGAUAAUGUGUAUCCUACCUUGGCCAUAUGAUUGUUAUCCAUGGUCCUGAAUGUAUACCAAGAAACUGGAUCAGUACUUGCAGAACUGUCCAUGGUGCUGAACCUUCCCCACUUCAAAUUAGCUGUGGCUCCCUGUGUUAUCUCUAACCCUCUCACCUGAGCUGUUGCCUCACUGGGAUGAUGUAUUCUGCUGCCAUCCCUUGCUUCUGGCAUGUUGAAAGUGGGGACGGAUGGCAAUGAGUGGAGAACCACAGGCCAAAAAUAUCCAUUAAGGACCACCUCCACCCAGCUUCAUAGAUAUCUGUGUCUGAUUUCAAAUAGAACUAGGACCAGAGCCAUGAAAUGCAAGCUCAACCCCAAUCCAUGCAUUUCAGAUUCUUUCCCAUCACUGAUUACUUUCUCAUCUCUGGGGGUGUUCUUAAAAGGAAAUGUGAGACAACUUACAAUUUAUUGAUUUAUUUUAAAAGUUACUGUACAGUGUCUUUGCCUUAGCAGACUAUGAUGAGCACACCAGAAUCUAGACUGCCUUAAAAAAAAUUAAAAAUACAACCUUAGCUCGCAGCCCCAUCCAUUUAAUUUGUUGGCAUUGAUUAAAAUGGUCUGCAAUGAUUAAUCAACCCGGGCUUUCAGUGACUGACCUGCUGAUUAAACUUAUUAAAACCUGCUGUUCUAACGUUACCAGCCACUAAAAUUAUCAAUGAGCCAUUUUCAUGCAUCAUCAGUGUAGCUCCCAUCCACUUCCUUCACAGAACCUGAUCCCUGGUCAAUCUUCUUAACUUUCUAUACCUGGUUCAUCACAAGAAGAGCUCCUUUCAGCAGAGGUCAGGCAAGUCCCCACCCAGUUGAACUGCUGGCCCCUAGUGAAAACUCCCCCCCCCCCGCCCCACAGGCAUUUAAAAUCAUUUCUAGUUUUCUAGUUAAUUUUUAACUGAUUUCAUCUCUAUUGCAUUUCUUAAGCUUAGAGAUAAUUGUAAUUCAGUGCUAUAUAAAUUGUAGAAAUAAUUAAUUAAAUGGAAAAUAAUUGUUUUCCCAGAAAUGCCUUUGCAGCUCGUAAAACUAUGCCAAAGCUUAAAAACAGAAGAAGGGAAAUACUAUGGGGUUAAGUUUACUAAAGAGUAGAUUAUGGUUGAACUUUUAGAGACACUCUUUUUUUCAAAAAAUGAAUAGAUUACAUGCCACUUAUUAUAUAUAGUCCAUCCAAAACAGCCUACAACAAUAGUGUGUGUGUAUGUGUGUGCGUGUGUUUACUAAACCUGAAAACAAAGCAGAUUCACAAGAAUAAAACAGAUUCCCUUAUGGGAUGGUGAGAGCCCAUGGCCUUCAACCAGAGGCUUGCCUACCCUCUGGUGGGGAUAUCUGACCUCCAGAUUGCUUGCAUUGGGCAGUGGCUGGGACUAGCUGACCUACAAGACCCCCGUCAACAUUGAUUCCAUGAUUCUAGAAAACUCACAUCAUCAUUCAUUGUCAUUUCAUUCUAUAGCAGUCUUCAGUAUACAAAAAGCCUUACUAUGACUGACUCAUCUGUUCUCGCAACAUGAGGCAAGGUGGUUAGACUUGCAGCUACUGCAUUGUGCAAAGAUGCCGAGAGAGCUUCCUAGCCAAGCAGGAAUUUGAAAAGGGGUCACCAAGCCCGCCCACCCCUCCUGUCCACUUCUGCUGGCCUUAUGGCAGCAGCUCGACUAGGAUUAUUACCUGCAGCCUCCCUCUGACGUUGAAGAGCUUUGACUUUCCUGCAUGGGAACUAAUAGCAUCUAUUUAAUCUGAUUUCCAGGGUGAGUCAGCAGCACGACACUGCAUCCCAGCAGACAGCGUUAGCAUCUGACCCCUAUGUCACAAACACUUAAGACCCAUAACGUAGCCUUGCUUGUGCUCCUAUCUGACAAGCAGCUGUCUGGCCUUGUGCACUCUUGCAUGCAGAUUCAGAUUUCUGUUCCUUUAAAUACUCCACCAUUUAGGUAUACACAAGAUCACUAUUUAAUUAUUGUUACAAAGAAAUUCAUAUGGAAUCACGUUUGCUUUCAAGUCCUAGACUCACAAUGAUAAAGAUGGAUACACCCAGCGCUUUUUUUAAGGAAAAAAGGUGGCAGUACUCAGAAUGAAGUUGUUUCAGUAAGUGCCACAUUUUUCACAUGGGGGGGGGGGGAGGAAAAGGUAGCUGGUACUGCAUACCCUGGAGCAGCCCCAGAAAAAAAGCACUGGAUACUGUCAUGGAAUUCUACUCAAUAUUGAUCCAGAGCAGAACGCCAACGUAUAGUUAGCAGAGUAACAACUUGAACACGUUGCAGGAUUCUCCAAAAAAUAGACCAGAGGCAAUUGUAUGCUUUACUGCUGCUGAAGGCAAAUGAGCAUAAAGGUCACAAAUCCAAUGUAUUCAGGGUUGGCACUGUCCAUAAGAAAUCCAGUUGCAGCCAACUUAACUUAAACUUACAAUAACUUACAAUAAGUCUAAACCUUAACAAUAUAUACAGAACGGGACGCGGGUGGCGCUGUGGGUAAAACCUCAGUGCCUAGGACUUGCCGAUCGUAUGGUCAGCAGUUCAAAUCCCCGUGGCGGGGUGAGCUCCCGUCUUUUGGUCCCAGCUCCUGCCCACCUAGCAGUUCGAAAGCACCCCUAAGUGCAAGUAGAUAAAUAGGUACCGCUUUAUGGUGGGAAGGUAAACGGUGUUUCCGUGUGCUGCGCUGGUGCUGGCUCGCCAGAGCAGCUUUGUCACGCUGGCCACGUGACCCGGAAGUGUCUCUGGACAGCGCUGGCUCCCGGCCUCUUAAGUGAGAUGAGCGCACAACCCUAGAGUCGGACACGACUGGCCCGUACGGGCAGGGGUACCUUUACCUUUAUCUUUACCUUUAUAUACAGAAUACCACACCAGAAGGAAAAGAGACAGAGAAAGUGAAAUCCAGACUCCUUCUGGCCCUGCUUUUAUAGUCAGCAUGACCUUGACAGAAAGAGAUAACAGAACCAGUUUAAACCAGCUGUACUCAGCUUCUCUGAAGGAAUAACCCAAACAUCAUGAACCUUCUGCUUGUUUCUUUCACACAGAGAAGCUUCUAGAAACUUCCAGAACCCUCUUGAAUUAAUUUAGAAUAGGAAAGAUCUCUACACAUCAGAUCAAUACUUUCUGCACUAAGAAAUGCAAACUGACAGAUACAUCUCCAUAUCCCUCUGCACACCCAUCUGCAUUGCGAAUACAUGCAUGAGGGAAGAGUUCUGAUCUUUUAUCUAUUUAUUACAUUUCUACACCACCUUUGCCUUCCAAGGAGCUCAAGGUGGUGUACAUGGUUAUCCCCCAUUUCAUCCUCACAACAACCUUGCAAGGCAAGUUAGGCUAUUAGAUGGUGACUGGCCCCAAGUCGCCCAGUGAGCUUCAUGGCUGGGUGGGGAUUCAAACCCUGGUCUCCCAGGUCAUAGUCCAACAUUCUAACCAUUACGCGACACGGGUACUUACUGCUUUUUAGCCAUCUAGAUUGGAUGUAUACUCAUUCAGGAUCCUGAAUGCAUGUGAAGUGUAAAUUAUUAAUUUUCAUGAAGUGAUCCUUGAGUGUGUAGCUUUUGUUAACACUCAGUUCACAUUUCUUUAAGGAAGAAACUGAAUCUGAAAAGAUAGGGCUUGCCUGAGGGCUAAACUACAAUAUUAAAAUUCCCAACCCUCCUCAUGCCAAAUUCUAUGGUUGCAUUUCAUGUAGCACUAAGGAGAUGGUUCCAAUCUUCUCUCUACUCUCCCUGCACACUGUUCUGGGUGUUCUUCUGACCCUCUAGAACAGAUAUGAGGAGGAUGUAGGGGGCAUGUGGAGGAGAAGAGGGAGGAAAGGCAUGUUGCACUAAUUGGAAUUGUGCUACCUUCCACUAGCACAAUGAUUUAAUGGAAUACUCCUCUAAAACUCCUGUAUCUACCAGCCCAUUAUUAUUACUCAUACCUGACUGUUCUGGCUUUAGAGUAUAUUGGGCUCAAAUGGGUCCCUCUUCAUGCGCCUCUUUGCUAAGCCAGAGAUGGGAAGCAUCUCAGAGAGUGACAGUUUACCAUCGCUGUUGCAAAGAUUUGCUGCCAAUGAGUCUCAAGCCUUUUUGGACCUUGAAUUUAUCUUUGUUCCUUGAGCCACAGUAUCAAAAUGCAUCCAAAUCUUUAACCUUCAUUUCUUUUAGUUAGGUGGAAUGUAAAUCUUAGAGGCGUGCACUCCCCCAAGAUUCACCUAAAAAAGGAGAAAAUGUUCUGUUUUUGCAUUGUUCUGUGCUUUCUCUGCUUUGCUCUGUAAUUUAGGUUCCAAACUACUUGUGUUCUGCUACAAUGGUCAAUCUAAAAUGACUAUGACUUCCCCCACUUUUGGCCAAAGCAGAUGAUAUUUUCAGGCACAAUACCCCCUCCAGAAUGAAUGACAUAUGCCAUAUUGUAGAACAGGUCCAUGUAUUUUUGUGGAGGAAGUAAAAGGGAUUCAUUUUCCUCCAUAAACCAUAAUAGGGCAAGACCUUUAUGAAGCCAGCCAACUCCAAAAUCCAUAUUAGUUUCCUGUUUUUGGUGUGGAAAAGGAGAAGGGUGUUGUCUCUUUCUUACCUUAAAAUAAUUAAGAGGUGGCCAAGUGGUAUGUAUUUUUGUUUCGUAUACAAGUUCCCAAAGGCAUCAUAAUGUGAUGCCAUCUAGAAUUUUUCCUAUAGAGUUCUGAAAAGCUCUGGGUUUUGUUUGUUGUUUGUUUUCUUUUGAAAGAUUUGUUUGUUUGAAAGAUUUUUUAAAAAAACAUCCUGAAUGAAACCUUUUCUUUAAAAAAUAAAAUUAAAAAAAUCCCUCAAUGUUGCACUUGAAUAAGUAGAUAAAUAAGUAGGUAAAAUUCCAGAGUUCUUCAGUGGUCUGCAGGCAACAUUUUGAACAGCCUCUCUUCUUGCAAAGCCCACAUACCUAGAGAAUCACAGGGAUAUAGGAAAACACAGAGCUCUAGGUGCAAAAACAAUAGCCUUUGUGGAAGCCCUUAACUGAUGGGUGGGAAGGAUUGAUGGUGCAUUUGAACUCAGGGAAUGGAGGAAAGUAUCCUGAAUCAUUCUGCUUCACCUAUUUCUCUCCCCCCCCCCCCACUUAUUGCACUUGAUCAGAGUAUGGUAGGGCUUCUUCUGCCAACAAAAAAAAUGAAUAGCCCUUAUAUCACACAAUUAAAUUGAAAUAACAUUGUAAGAAUAUUCUGCCCAUUUCCAACAUCCAAGCCUUGACUGAUUCAGCAUAUCUGCUUCUGCACUGAGCAGCAGCAGCAGAAGCAGCGAAAUAUUAUGAGACAACAAUUUGAAACUGAAAUACCUGAUGUUACUGGGAAAUGAGCACAUUUAUCUGCAUGGCAGAUUUGAAAGAAAUUCUCCCGCAGUGGCGUUCAAGCCAUAUGUGUAGUAAUUAGGCAUACGCUAAGCCAAAAUUUAAGGCUGUUUUCAAAAUUAACUGUAAGAACAAUAUUGAUGCAUCUUAUACAGUUCUUGUAUGUUCUCCUUAUGUUCUGUGGCACUGGCGUCCUUGAAACCUUGAAACAAAGAGCUUCCUUGCCGAAAGGAUCUACUGAUGCCAUGCUUAAGAAUAUAAAAGCCCUGCUAGAUCAGACCAGUGGUCCAUCAAGUCCAGCAUCUUCAUAUCACAAUGGCGAACCUGCUGCCUCUAGGAACCAACAGAGCUUGAAUACAGCAUCCCUUUUCCCCACUGUUCUUCCCAAAGAACUGGUCUUCAGUGGUAUACUGCUAGUAGUCCUUGAUACAGCCAUCCCCCAUGAAUGUGUCUAAUCCCUUUUCAUAUCCAUCAACACUAGCGGUCAUCACUACACACUGAGGAUCUGAUUCCAUGUCGGAGCCAGCCGUCACAAAUGGCACAGUUUAGCAUAAAAUAAAGACACAGAAAGCCAGCAAUAUUUUCAGAAUGGUAUGAGCAGCUCCUUUCGAACUUCUCUUCUCUCCCGUAACUUUUAUUAUCCUUUGUUCUCUCCUUUCGCAUGGCCGUUUGCCAAUGUCUCACAUUACCUACAUCCGGUCAUGGCUUAAACCCACCCAUCGCCUUAUAGGGUCAUGCACUUAAUACACUGCAAGGAACGGACAUGCAGGUCACUGAGGUCAGCGAGGCACCAGGUGGCGCCACGAGCCUUUUUCAUGACUUCCUGGCUCCCACAAUUCCAUAAGUUAACCAUGAAUUGUAGGGGAGAAAUAUUUUCUUCUGUCUAUCCUGAAGUCAGUUUCAUUUCAGUUAACAACAAUUUAAAACAUUUCAAAAUAAUUAAAUUUAACAGUAAAAGAGAUGAAAACAUAUCAAUAUCUGCAUACCUGGGUAGUCUUGCCUAAACAAAAUGUUUAAGGCAGGCACUGAAAAAAGGACAGCAGAGGCGUCUGCCUGAUGCCAAUAGGCAAGGAGUUACAAAAUGUAGGUGAUCACACACAAAAAGAUCGAUUUCUUACAACUGUGUGAGUGGAAAAGCUAUUCACGCCAUGCAUCAUUUUAAACACUUGAGCCAUGCCCCCCCCCAGCCAUUUUUUCUCCAAACUAAAAUGGGGCAAGAUUUUAGCUUUCCCUUGUACAGAAAGAGCUGCAUAUCCUGAUAAUUUUGUACCUUCUCCAGCUCUGCAGUAUCCUUUUUGAGAUGGAGUGACCAAAGUCAUUCAAAUUCAGUAGCAACACAGAUCCACACAAGGAUAUUAUGAUGCUGGCAGUUUUAUUUUCAUCCCCUUUCCUAAUAAUCCCUAGGAUGGAAUUUGAUUUUUCCACAGCUGCCGCACACUGAGUUUUCAGUGAGAUAUCCACCAGGACCCCAGAAUGUCUUUCCAGCAUGCAUAUUAGUAAAGUUUUAUUGCCCUGAUGUGUGCCACUUUGCACUUAUACUGAACUCUGUUUGUCAUUUUGUUGUCCACGCAACCAGUUGAGAGAGAUUCUAUUGAAGCAGUUGGCUGUCUUUGGUUUUUCACAUCCUCAAUAAUCCACAAAUUUGGCCAUUUCACUAUCCCCUAACUCUGGAUCCUUUAUGAGUUAGUUUGAAAGUAUGGAUCCCAAUACAAAACUCCAUAUGUUCAGUUCAAACAAUCUUGCUGUACUUGAAAUCCUCACACACUAAACUCACCCUAUGAGUCCACCUUAGAUUGUAAUGUGUUAGUUCUGAAAACACACUAAGCUUUGAAACCUUACAACGUUGUCCUGCAUUUGCAUCUAUUAGUCAGGUCUAGAAGAACUUGGUUCACAACGAUCCAGUCUUAUCUUCACAUCAAUUUAGGUCUCUUCCAAAUUCCUUUCUCUCCUUGAAAGCCAUCAGCAGCGAGAGUUAGUGGCACAAACUUCACUGCAGAAAGUGAAACACUGAAUUUGCUUCUCUCCCCCACCCUUAGUCUUUGUGAUACCAGUUGGUUUAAUUUCUCUUGACAUUUCUCCCAUAGCAGCAACAGCAGCAUGUCAAGACUAAUUAAACAAAAUGGCGGUCGAAUCCUAAAGAACAUACAUCUGCUGUGAUCUGCUGCUAACCCCAAAGCUGGGGAGUCUUUCUUAGAUCAUGGAGGGGAAAGGGCUGGAGAAGUGGCAGCAGUGGGGAUGAGUGGUGAAAUAAUUCCCCAGGAAAGAAAUCACGUUUGAUUGCUUCAUGUAUACAGAGCAUCCACAUCAACAGCAGAGUUCUGGCAAUGAAGUAAAACAGCUGGAGUUUUAGUGUUUAUCAUGCAAUCUGUGUAGAGAUUGCCAAAGUACCUCUUGGAAGUCCAAAAUGGCUACUUUGGGUGAGCCAGCUAUUGAAGUUUCACAUAAUUUCCAAAAUAUUGUUCAUUGCAGAAAGCAAUAUGUGGGGGAAAUCAACAAGACCCCUUUGGGGGAAAAACAUUCUGAGAUUCAGGUGUUUUAAAGUUGUUUGUGGUUGCUCUGGCAUUUUUAAUGUGUUUCAUAAUCACAGCCUCAUUCAGCCUCACAGCUCUGCAAGUGAGGUCAAUGCCAUUGCUAUCUCAAAGAUGGAAGGCUGAGGCUUAGAGAUUAAAUGACUUUGCUGAUUGGAUUUGAAUUGUGGCCUGCCGGAGGCAGCUAAGUCCUAUAUUCUCUUUCCAGAAUCACGGCGCCUCAAAGUAUAUCCUGUAUACAGAUAUCAAACCCGUUCCCGGAGGUGUAGAACCUCACUUGGCCAAUACAUUGGCAUGCAAACAUAUGGAGGAAAACCCCAAGAUUUGCAGAAGUACAAAAAAUGUGGAGGGGGGUGGAUCUGAAACAGCCAAAUGAAAACUGAGCAUGCUCAGUGGUCAAGGAAAGCUGACUGGCUGUUGCAGGAGGGAGGGUGAGUUAGAAAGUCAGCAGGGAGAGGAAAGGACACACAGUUUCCCUGAAAGAAGAUUUGCCUAAUUGGCAGGAACACUAAGCAGGAACACUCCACUCCAACGUGUUAAUGUAGGUCCCAUUUGCAGAAAGACAAACAGACAGAUAUGCCAGUCUUCAGCUUUGUAGUUAAACAUUUGCUCUCACAUAUAAUGCAGAAAUUAAAAGUUAGGGAAAUGUUGAGAAAAUGGAAUAAAUUGCAGUGUGAAUGAAACCAAAGACCUGUGAGAGCUCAAGGAAUACAGCCAUUUUCCAUCCUUGAAGUAAACAAACCAGGUUUUUUAGCCAUGAAUACGUUGAUUCCCUGAUCUUUUUUUUUUAAAAAAAAAGAAAAUAAUUACUGAUAUGUUGACUUGCUGAGAAAAGCUUUCAUGAGCUUUGUGUUGGGAAACGCCGAGGCCAAUGCCUCUCAACCAAUGCAGCUCCACCCAGGAUGAUUCAUCACUCCUGUGUCCCGUCGCACUGAUGUGAUCCAUAUCCAAGAACAUGAGCACACAACACUAGCAGUCCAAACAGAAGCUGAGCCUUGAGGUGUGACAUCUAAGCCUAAUUUAUUGUGUAUAAAAUCAAACAGAACAGAACAAAGAAAACAUAGCUCCUCUACUUCUUUCUGCCGGGGGGAGACAAGAACUGCAAAAGCAACACAGAACGGAACUUCCGUUCACAAGACUCCCACAAUCACUGCUGGAAUGCAAACACAGACAUGUGACAUGUAACAAUCCCACACAUCUGCAGCACGGAGGAAUGAAAUCCCCAACACUUUGUAGCUUCCCAGCAGCCUCUCCCUCAAAUUUCAUAAAAAGCACACUGUGCGGUUCUAUGAUCCAGCUUCUUCCAUUGCUCUUUCACCUGCCUGCCUCCGGACUUGGGAUAAGAGGACAUUCAGCCAGUCAAGCUACCUGUGAUUACUUAUGUCCACUUCAGAGGAUUUCUUUACGUACUUUGAGAGGUUUAUUAUGCAGAUUAUGGCAACGUCUGAAGAGCCCUGGGCUAACUUGUCCAUCUUGUCAGCUAGAGCACAGAUGAAUUAACUGGAGUGUCAUUUUCUAAUGACAAGGCUUCUGUGCCUCAUACUAAUGGUAGAGUCACUCCCCACAAAUGAUGUCGAGGAGCAAGCGUCAAACCUAUUUUCAAAAUAUUGAUUUCACGUCUGACCUUUAUUCAUUUCCAUACAUUUCCUGUCACAAUAAGAACACAGACAACUCUUAAGAGCUGAGGAAACAGACUCCAGCUUUAGGAAAUUGUUUGGUCCAUUUUGGAAAGAUGAAAGGAUGGAAGGGAGUAGAAUGGCAGAUUGAUUCCAUAUCAUUCAUGGUCCUCCAGGUGGCAAACAUGGGUGUUAUUCUGUUUUAUCUUGAAAACAUCCCUCUGAAGUUGUGAUUCACCAAAGACCACCUAGAAAACCUCAUGGAUGAGAAGAGGAUUUAAAUCCAGGUCUACCUCACCCCUAGGUCCAACUCCUUGGCUAGCGACUUAUGCAUCACCAAAGAAAGAAGAAAUGCAUCACCCCAAAAAUACAUCAAAAAGUGCAUAGAUUUGCAUAAAAUCUGCACAUGGCAUUCAAAACUGUUGGGGGGGGUGAAAGAUAAGAAGCCCCACCAUAACGCCGUCAUUUAAAACCAUAUUAUGAGGUCAAAUCACACCCCCUAAAAUGGAAACAAACACCCCUAUUUUGUGACCUGGUGACAUUUCAAUCCCCACAACCAUAUACCUUGGUUGUACCUCAGAGGUCAAACAGAAUCUGUUCCGGAAGUCCGUUCAACUUCCAAAAUGUUUGGAAACAAAGGGGCAGCUUCCGAUUGGCUGCAGGAAGCUCCUGUAGCCAAUCAGAAGCCGUGGAAGCUGUGUUGGAUGUUCCCUUCCGGGUUUGUGGCGUUCGGGAGCCAAAACGUUCCAGUCGCAAGGCAUUCGUCAACCAAGGUACAACUGUACGCACGGCAUUUUAAAGUGGAUUUAAGGCAUUCGAUGUGUGUGUGUUCUUCAUGUGAUGCCCACAACUUUCUCCUGAUCCAAGUAGUGGACUGCACUCCCCUGCUUGAAUUUGGAUUUACCUGAUCCACAGCCACCAUCCUGAAGCUUGACAGGUGGAGCCUGGGCGGCAGGCCGGGAUGGAGAAGCCUCCGCUCUGGUCGACCGCUUGGAAAUAAACGCUGACUGUGCCCGACCACAGCAAUGCAGUCAGCUGAAGAGCAGCCCACCCAGCCUCCCUGUUUUCUGUGGUUUUAAAAAGUAAAGUAAAGUGACCCUGUUUUACUUAUAUACUAAUUCUGCUUUGCUUC
This is a non-coding RNA of Podarcis lilfordi (Lilford's wall lizard), 12602 nucleotides long. Lineage: Eukaryota; Metazoa; Chordata; Lepidosauria; Squamata; Lacertidae. The record is from the annotation of a GenBank genome assembly.